This 254-nucleotide ribosomal RNA is filed under the name uncultured bacterium. Its description in RNAcentral is "partial 16S ribosomal RNA". It matches the Rfam family "Bacterial small subunit ribosomal RNA", at positions 524 to 776 of the family's 1533-position model. The record is from RNAcentral.
UACAUGGGGUGCAAACGUUGCUCGGAAUUAUUGGGCGUAAAGCGCACGUAGGCGGUUCGUUAAGUCGGAUGUGAAAGCCCUCGGCUCAACUGAGGAAGUGCACCCGAAACUGGCGAGCUUGAGUACGAAAGAGGAUCGCGGAAUUCCCGGUGUAGAGGUGAAAUUCGUAGAUAUCGGGGAGGAACACCGGUGGCGAAGGCGGCGAUCUGGGUCGAUACUGACGCUGAGGAGCGAAAGCGUGGGGAGCGAACAGG